UCAACGGAUAAAAGGUACUCCGGGGAUAACAGGCUGAUACCGCCCAAGAGUUCAUAUCGACGGCGGUGUUUGGCACCUCGAUGUCGGCUCAUCACAUCCUGGGGCUGAAGUAGGUCCCAAGGGUAUGGCUGUUCGCCAUUUAAAGUGGUACGCGAGCUGGGUUUAGAACGUCGUGAGACAGUUCGGUCCCUAUCUGCCGUGGGCGCUGGAGAACUGAGGGGGGCUGCUCCUAGUACGAGAGGACCGGAGUGGACGCAUCACUGGUGUUCGGGUUGUCAUGCCAAUGGCACUGCCCGGUAGCUAAAUGCGGAAGAGAUAAGUGCUGAAAGCAUCUAAGCACGAAACUUGCCCCGAGAUGAGU
RNAcentral lists this ribosomal RNA (361 nucleotides) under Salmonella enterica. RNAcentral describes it as "partial 23S ribosomal RNA". It matches the Rfam family "Bacterial large subunit ribosomal RNA", at positions 2449 to 2809 of the family's 2925-position model. The record is from RNAcentral. Lineage: Bacteria; Pseudomonadati; Pseudomonadota; Gammaproteobacteria; Enterobacterales; Enterobacteriaceae.